Molecule: long non-coding RNA, 454 nt
Organism: Polypterus senegalus (gray bichir)
Lineage: Eukaryota; Metazoa; Chordata; Cladistia; Polypteriformes; Polypteridae
Exons: 2
Source: RefSeq, a predicted model, not a curated record
CCAAAACACCACCUGCCAACAACACCAACUUUUAAAAUUAGAGGGAUUGGAAUUGUACUGUAUUUCUUCUCAUUUAUUUUGUAAAAUAUAAUUGGUUCAUUUAAAUAUAUUUUUUUAACACAGGCAGAAAGUUUUCUGCUGUCUUUGGGAGUAAAUCGGCGCAUUUCUCUGGCAACAAAGACAUUAGAAGAUCUGAUGAAUGCUUAAUCCUAAACUUUUGACUUUGGCAGGAGUGGCACGGCGGCUUUCUAAAUUAUGACAUUCUGGAAAUAAUGAUUGAGUGAAAGUCUGAAGUCAAAGACAAGGUGGAUGACGAGGUGGAAGCCAGCGUAACACGUGAACGAUACAAAGGAUGUUUCCAGCUUUGUUCAAAGUUUCCAAGUUGUAGGGUGCACUGCUGUUUGCCUAAAGUCCGCUUGUUUUUACAGCUAAUACAUUUCAUUGAAGCAAAGAA